This 137-nucleotide ribosomal RNA is filed under the name uncultured Bacillota bacterium. RNAcentral describes it as "uncultured Firmicutes bacterium partial 16S ribosomal RNA". It matches the Rfam family "Bacterial small subunit ribosomal RNA", at positions 355 to 507 of the family's 1533-position model. Lineage: Bacteria; Bacillati; Bacillota. The record is from RNAcentral.
UGGGGAAUAUUGCACAAUGGGCGCAAGCCUGAUGCAGCGACGCCGCGUGAAGGAUGAAGGUCUUCGGAUCGUAAACUUCUAUCAGCAGGGAAGAAACCAUGACGGUACCUGACUAAGAAGCCCCGGCUAACUACGUG